GUGUUCCACUAAGUAAUACUCUUCUUUUGGCUUUCAAAUUUAUAAGCGCUUGAUACGUCUGAUUUUCGGAAUUUUUUAAACGAUGUCCUUCAUCGCACAAUACGAGUCCAACCUCAUCUUGAUGAAGAACGUGUGCAAUCCAGUCACAAUAAAUGCACAACAUGCAAUACAAUCUA
This is a long non-coding RNA of Frieseomelitta varia, 176 nucleotides long. RefSeq lists it as uncharacterized. The record is from RefSeq and is a predicted model, not a curated record. Lineage: Eukaryota; Metazoa; Arthropoda; Insecta; Hymenoptera; Apidae. The transcript has 2 exons.